GAUGAACGCUGACAGAAUGCUUAACACAUGCAAGUCCACUUGAAUUUGGGUUUUUACCUUAGGUUUGGGUGGCGGACGGGUGAGUAACGCGUAAAGAACUUGCCUCACAGCUAGGGACAACAUUUGGAAACGAAUGCUAAUACCUAAUAUUAUGAUAAUAGGGCAUCCUAUAAUUAUGAAAGCUAUAAGCGCUGUGAGAGAGCUUUGCGUCCCAUUAGCUAGUUGGAGAGGUAACGGCUCACCAAGGCGAUGAUGGGUAGCUGGUCUGAGAGGGUGAUCGGCCACAAGGGGACUGAGACACGGCCCUUACUCCUACGGGAGGCAGCAGUGGGGAAUAUUGGACAAUGGACCGAGAGUCUGAUCCAGCAAUUCUGUGUGCACGAUGAAGUUUUUCGGAAUGUAAAGUGCUUUCAGUUGGGAAGAAACAAAUGACGGUACCAACAGAAGAAGUGACGGCUAAAUACGUG
This 467-nucleotide ribosomal RNA is filed under the name uncultured bacterium. RNAcentral's name for it is "partial 16S ribosomal RNA". It matches the Rfam family "Bacterial small subunit ribosomal RNA", at positions 28 to 507 of the family's 1533-position model. The record is from RNAcentral.